This 233-nucleotide long non-coding RNA is filed under the name Daucus carota (carrot). RNAcentral's name for it is "long non-coding RNA (DCAR_LNC003447)". Lineage: Eukaryota; Viridiplantae; Streptophyta; Magnoliopsida; Apiales; Apiaceae. The record is from RNAcentral.
UAUGAAAGGAUGAAAAAAGAAAACAGCAAGCUGGCAAUGCAUGCAUGUGUCCUUUACUGAUCCCAUGAAUUAAGGUGACCAUAUUAAUAGCAGCUAGGUGACUAUGUAAGCUGUGAUCUUAACCUGCUUGUAUUCUAAAGUCUAUAAAUAGUUUCCGUGUUUUAUAUUUGAAGAAGUACCGAGUGAAGAAAAACUGAGAGAAGUAAAAGAGCCGAAGCUCUCUGUGAGAAAAG